This 909-nucleotide ribosomal RNA is filed under the name uncultured archaeon. Its description in RNAcentral is "bacterial SSU rRNA". It matches the Rfam family "Archaeal small subunit ribosomal RNA", at positions 1 to 922 of the family's 1478-position model. The record is from RNAcentral.
UUCCGGUUGAUCCUGCCGGAGGUUACUGCUAUCGGGGUCCGACUAAGCCAUGCGAGUUGGAGGGGUACCUCGGCGUACUGCUCAGUAACACGCGGAUAACCUGCCCUUGGGUCCGGGAUAACCCCGGGAAACUGGGACUAAUACCGGAUAGAUCAGAGAUACUGGAAUGUUCUCUGGUCCAAAACUCGGUGCCCAAGGAUGGGUCUGCGGCCUAUCAGGUAGUAGUGGGUGUAACGUACCUACUAGCCAGCGACGGGUAAGGGUUGUGAGAGCAAGAUCCCUGAGAUGGAUUCUGAGACAUGAAUCCAGGCCCUACGGGGUGCAGCAGGCGCGAAAACUUUACACUGCGGGAAACCGCGAUAAGGGGACCCCGAGUGCCAGCACCUAGUGCUGGCUGUCCAGUUGUCCAAAAACAACUGUUAGCAAGGGCCGGGCAAGACCGGUGCCAGCCGCCGCGGUAACACCGGCGGCCCGAGUGGUAGCCGUUAUUAUUGGGUUUAAAGGGUCCGUAGCCGGCUUAUUAAGUCUUUUGGGAAAUCUGGCGGCUCAAUCGUCAGGCGUCCAAAGAUACUGGUAGGCUUGGGACCGGGAGAGGUGGGAGGUACUCCAGGGGUAGGGGUGAAAUCUCGUAAUCCUUGGGGGACCACCGAUGGCGAAGGCAUCCCACCAGAACGGGUCCGACGGUGAGGGACGAAAGCUGGGGGCACGAACCGGAUUAGAUACCCGGGUAGUCCCAGCUGUAAACGAUGCUCGCUAGGUGUCAGGUGCGGUGCGACCGCAUCUGGUGCCGCAGUGAAAACUUGAAGCGAGUCACCUGGGAAGUACGGUCGCAAGGCUGAAACUUAAAGGAAUUGGCGGGGGAGCACUACAACGGGUGGAGCCUGCGGUUCAAUUGGAUUCAACGCCGGA